RNAcentral lists this transfer RNA (66 nucleotides) under Cerceris sp. SJW-2017. RNAcentral's name for it is "tRNA-Tyr". The record is from RNAcentral. Lineage: Eukaryota; Metazoa; Arthropoda; Insecta; Hymenoptera; Crabronidae.
AGUAUUAUGUCUGAUUUAAGUAAUAAAUUGUAAAUUUAUUUAAGAAGUUUAUAAUUUCUAAUACUA